ACUAUGAUGAUAAUUUUGGUCCGUGUUUAUGAUUUUUGUUGAUUAUCUCUUUAACCACUUCCUGAUCAUA
This is a small nucleolar RNA of Malaya genurostris, 70 nucleotides long. RefSeq annotates it as small nucleolar RNA U18. The transcript has a single exon. Lineage: Eukaryota; Metazoa; Arthropoda; Insecta; Diptera; Culicidae. The record is from RefSeq and is a predicted model, not a curated record.